This is a long non-coding RNA of Crotalus tigris (Tiger rattlesnake), 1844 nucleotides long. RefSeq lists it as uncharacterized. Lineage: Eukaryota; Metazoa; Chordata; Lepidosauria; Squamata; Viperidae. The record is from RefSeq and is a predicted model, not a curated record. The transcript has 2 exons.
CUCCAUCUCUCCAUUAUUUGUAAAUAUUGAAACCAUGAUUGUAAAAUAUUUUCUUGCCUUAACAAAUCAAAAAACUUUAAUUGCCAAUCUGUACCUGACCAAAUAUCUGGCUGAGAUAUUAACAGUCUAAUAAGCUCUCCAUGCCCCAUUCUCAAGUUCUUCAAGGGCCGGAGAACGAGAUCCAGACUGGGUGGGGAUGGUUUAGCAGGCCUUAAAAAAAAAUCCUUGGCAAUGUCCUGUCGUGCCAACAAUGACUUGUCGGCUUGGAUGUUGCAACACCAGGGUGGAGUGAUCUGAAGAGAAAUCAUGAGUCACGAUCCUUGUAGGCCAGAAGGUAGCUUAGCUGGUGACGUCUGGAGAUGUAGAUUGCGGCACUUCCCAUGCCGAAUUCUUUCCGGGUGACCAGCCCAGGGAUCAGGCAGGUCCAUAAAUGCGUGAAGAGAACCGAGAAGGCACUCACAACUGCGAUCCAGGAGAGUUGUGGGUUUCAUCCAGGAUUAGGACAAACCAUGAAGGCUUCUUGGCUCGUCUUGGUGGUGUUGGCCAGCCUCUCGCUUCUCCUGACAGUCCGCUCUGAAGAUGCCCCGCCGGUCUCUGGAGCACCUGAGGUGGUGACGUCCCAUUCUGGACAUCUGCCCAUUGAAGCGUCCAGAUUGUCCAAAGCUUGGUGGAAGAAAUUUAUCCAGGAAAGCCAGAGCCAGAAGAAGACCCCACCCCCCGGACCUGGAUCCUACGGCCCCUUAGGCGAUAUCAAUCACUAAUGAUGGAUCUGCCAGGGAUAUUCCCACAAUGCCUUAUGAUCCGGUCCUCCCAUCCCAGGGACGCACUUGGUCUUCCUUGCCUUCCGCCUCCGAUCGGCCUGGGGCUUUUGCAAGUGCAAAAAGAUUCCUAACGUGUAGGUGUCUCCCAUGACCUGAACUCUGUGUCUGUGUGUGUGUGUGUGUGUGUGUGUGUGUGUGUUACGAAGGACCAAUCCAAUCGCUCUUUCUUCUCACACCAGCUGGAUCCCACGAUGGACGCUUCGCGGACCCUUCCUUCUCCUCUGUUAUUAAUUUCAGCAUCUUGGUUCGUGUUUUCCAACAGCCGUCAGAUUCCAUUUCUCUCUGAUCUGGGAUACAACCCUUCGUUUAGUGACCUUUCUGAGUUAGAACGGCGCUGAAAAAAAGUGAACUUAAGGACCGAUCCUCGCAUUUACGACCGGUGCAGCAUCCUCAACAAGACACGUGAUCAAAAUUUGGGUGCCCGGCAACUGUUAAAUGUUUUCAACGGUUGCAGCGUCUCAAGGGAUCCAUUUUGCAGCCUUCCCAGCUGGUUCCUGGGAAUGAAAAAAAUCAAUGGGGGAAGCCAGACUUGUUUAACGGCCACGUGAUUCACACAACGACUGCAAUGAUUCCCUUAAGAACUGUGGCAAAACGGGUUCUGAAAUUGGGUGCGACUCACUUAAACCUUGCUUAAAGCUGGCUGUAAAUCGAGGACUUCCUGUAUGUGAGCGAGCCCAACUCAGUGGAGGAAGCCAGUUUUGCUUAACGACCACAUUCACUUAACAACUGCAGGGAUUCGCUUAACAACCGAAAGGCUGGCCUCAGUUGUGGAUGUGAGUGAACCCAAAGCGAAACAUGUGAAUGGGACAGAAAGAGCCACUUUUCUUAGUGCCAAACAGUCACUAAGUGAACAGUCGUAAGUCAAGGACUACCUGUGUCCAGAAAGGGAUCUUAUUAGAUCAAUUUCUCAAACAUGGCCGCUGUGAGGUGUGGGGACUUCAGCUACAGAUGGACCUUCUCUCAAUGUGAUAUUUAAAUAAAUAAAAUUUAUGAAAGUUAUAUAUGUUCCAUAUUACACUCUCA